UGGUUCCAGAGGGCUAGAAGCCCACCGUG
RNAcentral lists this non-coding RNA (29 nucleotides) under Mus musculus (house mouse). The record is from RNAcentral. Lineage: Eukaryota; Metazoa; Chordata; Mammalia; Rodentia; Muridae.